GGAAUGAGAGAUUCAGAUAAAAGCUUCUAACUUUAAAUCUAAGCGAUGAAACUUCGUUUGCAUUCCU
Molecule: transfer RNA, 67 nt
Filed under: Labidostomis taxicornis
Lineage: Eukaryota; Metazoa; Arthropoda; Insecta; Coleoptera; Chrysomelidae
Description: tRNA-Ser
Source: RNAcentral